This 245-nucleotide ribosomal RNA is filed under the name uncultured bacterium. Its description in RNAcentral is "partial 16S ribosomal RNA". It matches the Rfam family "Bacterial small subunit ribosomal RNA", at positions 528 to 772 of the family's 1533-position model. The record is from RNAcentral.
UAGGUGGCAAGCGUUGUCCGGAUUUACUGGGUGUAAAGGGCGUGCAGCCGGGCUGACAAGUCAGAUGUGAAAUUCCAGGGCUCAACUCUGGAACUGCAUUUGAAACUAUUGGUCUUGAGUACCGGAGAGGUUAUCGGAAUUCCUUGUGUAGCGGUGAAAUGCGUAGAUAUAAGGAAGAACACCAGUGGCGAAGGCGGAUAACUGGACGGCAACUGACGGUGAGGCGCGAAAGCGUGGGGAGCAAA